AUAAAAUAAAUUGGCUUUAAGUCCUCCGGGCGGACGCAAGGAAGGUUCAAUGAGUAACUUCAAAACAACUGUUGAUAACAAAUCGAUAAAUCAGUACUGCAACAUAGGGAGAUAUGGUGGUGGUGGCAACUGGCAACGAUAUCAAAGAAUGUCGCAUUCAAUACUGCUAAAUAUAGAUCUUUGCAAUCUCCAUGACAUAACAUAAGCACCGCCGCAGCAGAAAAUGACCAGAAACGUCCCCAGAUGAUUUCGGCUUCUCCAGCACUCGAUCAGACCAAGUUCCACGUUACCAGGUGCGAUUGAAGCAUAUAUCUUUCAUUCUUUUCAGUUUAACCACCCACUUAAAAAGCCGAAACCAGGUGUUAUUUGCUUAAUGGCCGAGCCGUCGCUGCCAUCAAAUCUAAAGAGAAUCGAUGCUGGAUUCUCAACUUAUUUUUUAAUCGAAAAUCAACCUCUGCGACAAUUAUGUGAUUACAAAUCUCAUUUGUUAGCUUGUCCGUUUUUCUUCGUUCCGUAUUGGGGCUUUUCAAUCUGUCCAAAUGGAAAAAAAAAAAUGUCUUGACACAUACAGAUUGUACAAUUGUUUAGGACAGUUCACCACCUUUAAAUAACUCCAUAAUUUUACAUUUUGAAUAUAAACCGUGGUUAUUUUAGACGUGUUUUAAGGUGUAGAGUGUGAAUUAUAAUCACAUACAUAAAACGAUAAAUGAUAAAAAAAAAAUUAUAACUUUAAUAAUGUGAUUACGAAAGUAUUUUUUAUUUUAAAACAAUUUUAAUAUAUUCGAACUUUUAAAUAUAUUUUUUUUUAUAAUUUUAACUUAAAAAAAAUUAGACGCUUCUUAAAUAUAUAUAUAUUUUUUUUCCAUUCGUUUCUUAUUACGUGUAUGUUUCAACUAAUUCUAAUAGCAUACAAAUUCAUAAAAACUCAUUGAAUAUAUAAGAACUAAGGGUGAAAAAACAAAGCACCAUAAUUCAAUUUUACCAAGGAGAAAACCCCAUAUAUACCCGAAACUAAUGAGAAAACAAAAUACACUCAUGACGUCUCAUUCAAAUGCCUGUCGUCUGAACUUUUUCUUUUCUCUCUCAUCUACGCCCUCUACGUUUCAGGAGUCACCACUAAACCAAUCUCCAUCACUGUCAAGUCCAUCACAAUUAUUAACACAACAUUUAUUUUUCAAUUUUCUUCUUUUUAAAACACAGUUAACAAAUUGGUUUAUAAAUCAAACUUGAUAAAUUAUAAAUUUUACAUCUCGUCUAAGGCGUUUGUUUCCUUUGAAAAUGAACAUUAUUAUCAAACUAGUUGAAGAUUUUUUUCAUAUUCAAUAACAGCUAAUUGUAUAUUCUUUUAAAAGUUAACAACAAAGUCAGCUCAUCGCUAAAUUAAAUUCCAAAUCAAAGAAGAUAUAUUUCUGGUGGCCGAUGAUCUGUACUUGCUUGGUCGUGAAUCCGAUUCAAUAUUAGAUAACCCAAUUUGUUCACUGUGUUUUACUCAAAAAA
RNAcentral lists this long non-coding RNA (1497 nucleotides) under Citrus x clementina. Its description in RNAcentral is "Citrus clementina (C. clementina) long non-coding RNA (CCLE_LNC003957)". The record is from RNAcentral. Lineage: Eukaryota; Viridiplantae; Streptophyta; Magnoliopsida; Sapindales; Rutaceae.